Small nucleolar RNA from Aspergillus ustus, 183 nucleotides. It matches the Rfam family "Small nucleolar RNA snR80". The record is from Rfam. NCBI's taxonomy places the organism in Eukaryota, Fungi, Ascomycota, Eurotiomycetes, Eurotiales, Aspergillaceae.
UGACCUUUGCAACACUCUGGCUCUUACCGUUCUCUCCCGCCUUCGGGCCUGGAUUGAACUCUGCUUCGUGGUAUAGGCUUAUUUUGCGCAAAGAAGAUCAACCGACCCUCUACUCACCGCGGUAUUCUGGGAGAGGCUCUGCCUUAAUCUAUGGAUACAGUGGUCCAUUUAUUUGGUCUACAU